RNAcentral lists this ribosomal RNA (464 nucleotides) under uncultured bacterium. RNAcentral describes it as "bacterial SSU rRNA". It matches the Rfam family "Bacterial small subunit ribosomal RNA", at positions 92 to 532 of the family's 1533-position model. The record is from RNAcentral.
ACAGUGGCGCACGGGUGAGUAACACGUGGGUGAUCUGCCCAGAAGAAGGGGAUAACCUCUCGAAAGGGGGGCUAAUACCGCAUAGGACCACCGGGGCUUUGGCUCUGUGGUGAAAGGGGGCCUCUGUUUACAAGCUCCUGCUUCUGGAUGAGCCCGCGUCCCAUCAGCUAGUUGGUAGGGUAAUGGCCUACCAAGGCUACGACGGGUAGCUGGUCUAAGAGGAUGGCCAGCCACACUGGAACUGAGACACGGUCCAGACUCCUACGGGAGGCAGCAGUGGGGAAUCUUGCGCAAUGGGCGAAAGCCUGACGCAGCGACGCCGCGUGGGUGACGAAGGCCUUCGGGUUGUAAAGCCCUGUGGGGUAGAACGAACUGGCAUCCGGGCUAACUAUCCGGUGUCUUGACGGUACUGCCUUAGCAAGCAUCGGCUAACUCUGUGCCAGCAGCCGCGGUAAGACAGAGGC